RNAcentral lists this ribosomal RNA (318 nucleotides) under Triticum aestivum (bread wheat). RNAcentral's name for it is "partial small subunit ribosomal RNA". Lineage: Eukaryota; Viridiplantae; Streptophyta; Magnoliopsida; Poales; Poaceae. The record is from RNAcentral.
AUGAGAAGCUCGGGUGAUGGAGGUAAUGCUGGAGAAGGGCUCCUGGCGGUGGGAUCAAUUCUAGGAGGAGGUGGAGAUCAUAGCAGAGGAUAUGAAGGCCGUGUGGAUGACAUAGAAGAAGAGGAGGAGCUCAAGGCUGCGGAGAAAAAGGACAACAGUAGAGUAUCAGACUUCCAUCUAGCUGAGAUCAACUUUUGUUUUCACGGGACAUGUUUUCAAGCUUUGGGUGCCUGCGCCCGGCUCGACGGGUGGCAUCAGCAAGCGCCGGCCGGCCUCGGCACUGCUGUUGGUGGUUAUAUGGUGGGCGGAGCACACUAG